UACGGAGGGGGCUAGCGUUGUUCGGAAUUACUGGGCGUAAAGGGCUCGUAGGCGGUUUGUCGCGUCGGGAGUGAAAACUCAGGGCUCAACCCUGAGCGUGCUUCCGAUACGGGCAGACUAGAGGUAUUCAGGGGAGAACGGAAUUCCUGGUGUAGCGGUGGAAUGCGCAGAUAUCAGGAGGAACACCGGUGGCGAAGGCGGUUCUCUGGGAAUUACCUGACGCUGAGGAGCGAAAGCAUGGGGAGCGAACAGG
This 253-nucleotide ribosomal RNA is filed under the name uncultured bacterium. RNAcentral describes it as "partial 16S ribosomal RNA". It matches the Rfam family "Bacterial small subunit ribosomal RNA", at positions 524 to 776 of the family's 1533-position model. The record is from RNAcentral.